RNAcentral lists this ribosomal RNA (246 nucleotides) under uncultured Streptococcus sp. RNAcentral describes it as "partial 16S ribosomal RNA". It matches the Rfam family "Bacterial small subunit ribosomal RNA", at positions 1133 to 1382 of the family's 1533-position model. The record is from RNAcentral. Lineage: Bacteria; Bacillati; Bacillota; Bacilli; Lactobacillales; Streptococcaceae.
GGGCACUCUAGCGAGACUGCCGGUAAUAACCGGAGGAAGUGGGGAUGACGUCAAUCAUCAUGCCCUUAUGACCUGGGCUACACACGUGCUACAAUGGUUGGUACAACGAGUUGCGAGUCGGUGACGGCGAGCUAAUCUCUUAAAGCCAAUCUCAGUUCGGAUUGUAGGCUGCAACUCGCCUACAUGAAGUCGGAAUCGCUAGUAAUCGCGGAUCAGCACGCCGCGGUGAAUACGUUCCCGGGCCUU